Molecule: ribosomal RNA, 253 nt
Filed under: uncultured bacterium
Lineage: Bacteria
Description: partial 16S ribosomal RNA
Rfam family: Bacterial small subunit ribosomal RNA
Source: RNAcentral
UACGGAGGGGGCGAGCGUUAUUCGGAAUUAUUGGGCGUAAAGGGCGCGUAGGCGGCCUUGCAAGUCAAAGGUGAAAUCCCUCAGCUCAACUGAGGAACUGCCUUUGAAACUGCACGGCUUGAGGCCGGGAGGGGGUAGCGGAAUUCCCAGUGUAGCGGUGAAAUGCGUAGAUAUUGGGAGGAACACCGAUGGCGAAGGCAGCUUGCUGGGACGGUACUGACGCUGAGACGCGAAAGCGUGGGGAGCAAACAGG